Temnothorax curvispinosus is the source of this 802-nucleotide long non-coding RNA. RefSeq lists it as uncharacterized. The transcript is spliced from 3 exons. Lineage: Eukaryota; Metazoa; Arthropoda; Insecta; Hymenoptera; Formicidae. The record is from RefSeq and is a predicted model, not a curated record.
UCUUGUCGACCGUCGACCCUUAACCUCGCUUGUGGUGUAUAUUGCUUAUUUCGUUUAAUUUGCUUUUGUCGUCUUUGCUUCUGUCGUUCUCAGUUAUAUUGCCUUGUAUUUAAUUAAUACUGCUUGUAAUUAAUUUUUUUGGCUGCGCUGAAAUAUUCCCCAUUUAAGUGGCUAUUAUCGUGAAAAUGUCUUUUUACGGCUCACGGGAACAAUUUGCUGAAAAAUGCAAAAAUUUUGAAAGAGGUUGCUGCAGCAAUUUAGAUUGCGGUUCGGUUCAUACAUAUAGAUAUUGCUACAAAUAUUAAAAUGAUUCGUGUAGCGUCAAGGACUGCCCAUUUUUACACUGCCCUAGUGUGGAACAGUAUCGUUACAUGAUGACUGGCAAAGCAACCGAAAAUCUAAAAAGAGAAGUCGGCCGAACCUUACAGAACACCGAUAUAUGUGGUGACUUUAAAAAAAACAUUUGUACACGAACAAAAUGUAAACGUCGGCACAUUAAAUUAGAUAAGCCUUUAGAGUGUCUGAUAUGUCGGGAUGAGAUCGUUCUGGAGACUUUUGGUGCUGUAACUUGCGGACAUAUAUUAUGUUGUAACUGUUUAUUUCAAUUGUUGAACAAUAACACAGAACAAUCAAUAAAAAUAGAUUGUCCGAUAUGUAAAUGUAAAGGAGGAUAUAAAAAAUUAAUGUAAUAUUUUGCUUAUGUCGUUUAUUUUGCUUAUGUCGUUUAAUUUGCUUUUGUCGUCUUUGCUUCUGUCGUUCCCAGUAUUAUUGCUUUGUAUUUAAUUUUUCUGGUAAGCUUAUC